ACGAACCCUUGCCCCCCACUCUCUUCCCAAAACCUUACGAGUCGCAACUCGUUCCUCCAAACACGUUCUCUCUCUCUCUCUCUCUCUCUCUCUCUCUCUCUCGGUGCAAUUCAUCGUCGCCCUCUUCGUGCGAUUCUCUCAUCUCAAUUCUCUAGGAUCGGGUGAUGGCUGGGCAGAGAAAUCACCAUGGAAAGCGGCAAUCUGACUAUCCUGACAAUGGGGGAAGUAAGAGACGACAUCCCGGAGAAGAAAGAGAUACUUAUGUUCCAGGCCCAGAAGACACCGUUUACCGUUUGUUGUGUCCAGGAAAAAAGAUAGGAAGCAUUAUUGGGAGGGGCGGUGAGAUAGUGAAGCAGUUGAGGGCCGACACGCAAUCCAGGAUCAGGAUUGGCGAAAGCGUUCCCGGCUGCGAUGAGCGCGUCAUUACAAUUUUCAGUGCGAGCAGGGAAACUAACACUUUUGAAGAUAGCGAUGAGAAGGCUUGCCCUGCACAAGAUGCUCUAUUUAGAGUGCACGAGAGGCUCGUUACAGAUGAGAUGCCUGAUGAUGAGAACGAAGCUGGCUCUCCUCAAGUUAGUGUACGUCUGCUCGUGCCGUCUGAUCAGAUAGGAUGCAUUAUUGGGAAAGGAGGCCAAAUCAUCCAAGGAAUCCGUAGUGAUACUGGUGCCCAAAUUCGUAUUCUAAAGAAUGAGCAUCUGCCUGCUUGUGCCAUUAGUGGCGAUGAACUUCUGCAGAUCACUGGGGAUGCCUCGAUCGUAAAGAAGGCACUCUUUCAAAUUUCAUCUCGCCUGCAUGACAACCCAUCUCGUUCACAGCACUUGCUUGCGUCCAGCAUGUCCCAAGGAUAUCCUGGUCAGUUUGGUGCCAGUGCACCUGUUGUAGGGAUGGGCCCCAUUAUUAGUCCCUAUGGCGGGUACAAAGGUGAUGUGGGUGGAGACUGGCCGCCAUUCUACCCCCCUUCCCGGGAUGAAAGCUCUGCAAAGGAGUUUAGCUUGCGCCUCCUUUGUCGCUCUGCUAACUUAGGUGGUGUGAUUGGCAAGGGUGGUGUUAUUAUUAAGCAGAUCCGGCAGGAAUCUGGUGCUUUCAUCAAGGUAGAUAGUACUGCCGCAGAAGAUGACAGCAUUAUUUUGAUAUCUGCAAAGGAGUUCUUUGAAGAUCCAAUCUCUCCUUCGAUAGAUGCAGCAGUUCGCCUGCAACCUAGAUGCAGUGAGAAAAAUGAGGCAGAGUCUGGAGAACCCACAUACACCACCCGUUUACUUGUAUCAACAUCACGCAUUGGUUGUCUUAUUGGCAAAGGUGGAUCAAUCAUAUCUGAAAUGAGGAGAGGUACAAAAGCAAAUAUCCGCGUACUUUCAAAAGAGAAUGUCCCAAAAGUUGCUGCCGAAGAUGAUGAGAUGGUUCAAAUUACCGGAGAGCUUGAUGUCGCUAGAAAUGCUCUUGUGCAAAUAACAACUCGGCUAAAGGCCAAUUUCUUUGAAAGGGAGGGUGCUUUACCGCCCUUUCCACCGCCGCCUGUUCCCUACCAUCCGUUGCCGAGCAGUGCUUCCGAUGGCUCUAAAUAUUCAAGCAGGGAUGGUAAGGUGCAUGGACGGGGUUAUUCUUACUCUGGUGGAUAUGGUGGUUCUAGCGAAGUGCUUCCUUCUGAAAAAUAUGGCAGCUAUGGUGGUUCUCAGGGUGGCGGAAGCAGUUAUGGAUCGUAUAGUGGUUAUUCUGGCCGCUACAGCGGCAGUGGGUUAUCUGGUUCUAAUUCUGUUCCUCUUGGAAAGCAUCAUGGUUAUUAGAAACCAAAAGUGUUAGGGCCAACAGGUGAUUUUGGUGACUUCUCAACCACGAGCUAGUCCUGCCAAAAGUGCAUACUAAUCACACAGUAAAGUAUGGUAUCUGAAUAGCCUGACAAAUUAGCAAACCAUUGGUUGAGGCUGUUUUUGAGCUAUCACAAUUUGAGAACUUUGAAAUUGUCAACUGUUUUGCAGGUUCUUUGGAGGGUUAUUGCUUUUGAAGGCCGGUAGGUAAGCUAUCAUGUACUAAAAUGCUGAGAUGUUAAGUACUUGGAGCCUGUUCGGUCUGCUGGAGCUUCUGCAAAUGGUCAUUUGAAUAUAGCUGUUUGAGAGAGCACUAAUAGCUUUUAAAUAAAAUCCUCUCAAUAGCUUCUCACUGCAGUAGAAACUGAAGCUUCCAUUUGCAGCUUCUGUUUUUUGACUGGGAGCAUUUUUAGCUUCAUGCUGCAGAAAAAGCUCUAGAAAUUUGUUUGUCAAAAACCAGCCUACUCGUAGUAGAGACGUUGCUCCAGAAGCUAGGCCAAACAAAUGCUUGAUGGUUUUUCGGGAUAGUAUACAUACACGUCUCUCUUGGUAGGUAUGGUAAUGAAUCAACUUCUAUAGUAUUUCGCCAAUUAUAAUUUAGUCUGCACUGAUAUCUAAUCAGCUUAAACUGGGAAUCUGUUUUCUGCAUUCCCUGAUUUCAUGAUCUCAUAAACAAUCAGAAAUUACUCUUAAGGACUAGAAAUUUUUGGUGAGAUGAAUUUUGUUUAGGGAUAGGUAAUUUCCUGCUUUUAUAUUGAUAUGAUUUAUGCAAGUCCGAAGCAUUAGAUGAAGGUCGGGAAAAGGCAUUAUAUGAUCAGUUUUACUUUUUUCGCAGUAUCACGUACUAAUGAAUAAAUUAUAAGGUCUGUUACACAUUAGAUGGCGAAUUUUCAUGUCUCGAAUUCCAGAAUUAGCUCUAUAUGCUGCUUAUCUAACUAUAGGUAGUUUGGUGUACUUCGGUUGAAUUUGCAAUAACCGAUUCGCAAAUAGGGAGAUGCAAAUGAGUAAAUAUGGCAUUGAUUUGCGGUCUAGUAGAGUGCAUUGUUUUGUUUUAUUGUGGUCAUUAUUUUAUUUCACAUGGCUGUAUUCUAUGGUUUUCGUUUCAAUCCCUAAGAUUUGUGUUUUUUUUCCCCCUCUCCAAUGGCAUCGUUCUCUUUUUUUAAUAUUUUUCGUCGUCGAAAGCUAUGCUGACGACUGUUUAGAUGAAAGAUUUGGAUAAAGAACUUUGAUAUAAGCUAUAUAUCUGUAUAGAGGCAUAACUGUUGUCAUAUUGCAAUUUUGCAACUCUUGUUCCUUGGGAAUUCAGUGUAUGUUCUAAAUCAAGCUAAGUUUCAGUAAAGCAGAAACACGUGUAGAAACAUUGUCUAAUGUGUUAUUGGAGUCUUCUACUGUGCUCAUUAUCGUUA
Molecule: RNA transcript, 3208 nt
Organism: Ananas comosus (pineapple)
Lineage: Eukaryota; Viridiplantae; Streptophyta; Magnoliopsida; Poales; Bromeliaceae
Gene name: KH domain-containing protein HEN4
Exons: 9
Source: RefSeq, a predicted model, not a curated record